Copidosoma floridanum is the source of this 807-nucleotide long non-coding RNA. The record is from RefSeq and is a predicted model, not a curated record. NCBI's taxonomy places the organism in Eukaryota, Metazoa, Arthropoda, Insecta, Hymenoptera, Encyrtidae.
UGAGCAGCAUCGGAUAGGGGGCGAGCUGUAAUUAGGCGGAAGCCAAUCCACAAAACGAGGCCGUUCCGAAUAGAAACCUCCACACGCCAGCGGUACACAACCAGAGACUCGCUCCCUGACGGACAACAUUCCACGGUAUACCCGUCGAGAACGUCUCACCACCCGCCGAAGGAUCGAAUCAGUCAUGCAAUCGACGGCGACGCAGCAACGGGUCGAGGCAGUGAUUUCAACCGAGGAGGCACCAGCUGUAGUCAUCUCAGUCACGCAGAAAGUGUCAUAAGCGCCGAAAGUCGCGCACCGCGUAGAGGUACACAAAGGAAAAGGAAAAAAAAAAAAAAAAGAAAAAAAAACAGUCGGAAGAGCUUUUUCGCCGUGAGAUGAGGGAGCCGCGGGCCCCGGCAGAGGAGGCGAGAAGGAGCAGGGGCUUCGAGGCAGUGGGUCGAUGAGCGUAGCCGCGUGGUGCUUAGGGGCCAGCGGGCCGAGGAGCCUCGCCCGGCGGCCCCGAGGUGUACGGCCGGCGGUGGCGAGGUGAACGGGCCAGCGGCUGGAGGGGCCAGGCGCAGCAGCUCUGGAGCCGGGCGGCGAGGCACUCGAGCCCUUGGCCAUCGUGGCCGGAGCGGAGCAUCAUCAUCAUCAUCAUCAUAAUCAUCAUCACCAAUCGACACUAGUCAAGUUAAACAGCGCCAGUGGCGGUAGACAGGGUGGGGAGAAGCGCGUGACCUUCCUCGAGCACCCGGUCGAGCUGACCGAGUCGCCGAGUACCACCCAACAGUCCCCCUGCGACGUCUGCGCCUUUUCUACGUUUUA